GACUAAGCGUACACGGUGGAUGCCCUGGCAGUCAGAGGCGAUGAAGGACGUGCUAAUCUGCGAAAAGCGUCGGUAAGGUGAUAUGAACCGUUAUAACCGGCGAUGUCCGAAUGGGGAAACCCAGUGCAAUUCGUUGCACUAUCGUUAACUGAAUACAUAGGUUAACGAGGCGAACCGGGGGAACUGAAACAUCUAAGUACCCCGAGGAAAAGAAAUCAACCGAGAUUCCCCCAGUAGCGGCGAGCGAACGGGGAGCAGCCCAGAGUCUGAAUCAGCUUGUGUGUUAGUGGAACGGUCUGGAAAGUCCGACGGUACAGGGUGAUAGUCCCGUACACCAAAAUGCACAGGCUGUGAACUCGAAGAGUAGGGCGGGACACGUGGUAUCCUGUCUGAAUAUGGGGGGACCAUCCUCCAAGGCUAAAUACUCCUGACUGACCGAUAGUGAACCAGUACCGUGAGGGAAAGGCGAAAAGAACCCCGGCGAGGGGAGUGAAAAAGAACCUGAAACCGUGUACGUACAAGCAGUGGGAGCACCUUCGGGUGUGACUGCGUACCUUUUGUAUAAUGGGUCAGCGACUUAUAUUCUGUAGCAAGGUUAACCGUAUAGGGGAGCCGCAGGGAAACCGAGUCUUAACUGGGCGUUAAGUUGCAGGGUAUAGACCCGAAACCCGGUGAUCUAGCCAUGGGCAGGUUGAAGGUUGGGUAACACUAACUGGAGGACCGAACCGACUAAUGUUGAAAAAUUAGCGGAUGACUUGUGGCUGGGGGUGAAAGGCCAAUCAAACCGGGAGAUAGCUGGUUCUCCCCGAAAGCUAUUUAGGUAGCGCCUCGUGAAUUCAUCUUCGGGGGUAGAGCACUGUUUCGGCUAGGGGGUCAUCCCGACUUACCAACCCGAUGCAAACUACGAAUACCGAAGAAUGUUAUCACGGGAGACACACGGCGGGUGCUAACGUCCGUCGUGAAGAGGGAAACAACCCAGACCGCCAGCUAAGGUCCCAAAGUCAUGGUUAAGUGGGAAACGAUGUGGGAAGGCACAGACAGCCAGGAUGUUGGCUUAGAAGCAGCCAUCAUUUAAAGAAAGCGUAAUAGCUCACUGGUCGAGUCGGCCUGCGCGGAAGAUGUAACGGGGCUAAACCAUGCACCGAAGCUGCGGCAGCGACACUAUGUGUUGUUGGGUAGGGGAGCGUUCUGUAAGCCUGCGAAGGUGUGCUGUGAGGCAUGCUGGAGGUAUCAGAAGUGCGAAUGCUGACAUAAGUAACGAUAAAGCGGGUGAAAAGCCCGCUCGCCGGAAGACCAAGGGUUCCUGUCCAACGUUAAUCGGGGCAGGGUGAGUCGACCCCUAAGGCGAGGCCGAAAGGCGUAGUCGAUGGGAAACAGGUUAAUAUUCCUGUACUUGGUGUUACUGCGAAGGGGGGACGGAGAAGGCUAUGUUAGCCGGGCGACGGUUGUCCCGGUUUAAGCAUGUAGGCUGGUUAUCCAGGCAAAUCCGGAUAAUCAAGGCUGAGGUGUGAUGACGAGGCACCACGGUGCUGAAGUAACAAAUGCCCUGCUUCCAGGAAAAGCCUCUAAGCAUCAGGUAACAUCAAAUCGUACCCCAAACCGACACAGGUGGUCAGGUAGAGAAUACCAAGGCGCUUGAGAGAACUCGGGUGAAGGAACUAGGCAAAAUGGUGCCGUAACUUCGGGAGAAGGCACGCUGGUGUGUAGGUGAAGUCCCUGCGGAUGGAGCUGAGACCAGUCGAAGAUACCAGCUGGCUGCAACUGUUUAUUAAAAACACAGCACUGUGCAAACACGAAAGUGGACGUAUACGGUGUGACGCCUGCCCGGUGCCGGAAGGUUAAUUGAUGGGGUUAUCCGUAAGGAGAAGCUCUUGAUCGAAGCCCCGGUAAACGGCGGCCGUAACUAUAACGGUCCUAAGGUAGCGAAAUUCCUUGUCGGGUAAGUUCCGACCUGCACGAAUGGCGUAAUGAUGGCCAGGCUGUCUCCACCCGAGACUCAGUGAAAUUGAACUCGCUGUGAAGAUGCAGUGUACCCGCGGCAAGACGGAAAGACCCCGUGAACCUUUACUAUAGCUUGACACUGAACAUUGAGCCUUGAUGUGUAGGAUAGGUGGGAGGCUUUGAAGCGUGGACGCCAGUCUGCGUGGAGCCAACCUUGAAAUACCACCCUUUAAUGUUUGAUGUUCUAACGUUGGCCCCUGACCGGGGUUGCGGACAGUGUCUGGUGGGUAGUUUGACUGGGGCGGUCUCCUCCCAAAGCGUAACGGAGGAGCACGAAGGUUAGCUAAUCCUGGUCGGACAUCAGGAGGUUAGUGCAAUGGCAUAAGCUAGCUUGACUGCGAGCGUGACGGCGCGAGCAGGUGCGAAAGCAGGUCAUAGUGAUCCGGUGGUUCUGAAUGGAAGGGCCAUCGCUCAACGGAUAAAAGGUACUCCGGGGAUAACAGGCUGAUACCGCCCAAGAGUUCAUAUCGACGGCGGUGUUUGGCACCUCGAUGUCGGCUCAUCACAUCCUGGGGCUGAAGUAGGUCCCAAGGGUAUGGCUGUUCGCCAUUUAAAGUGGUACGCGAGCUGGGUUUAGAACGUCGUGAGACAGUUCGGUCCCUAUCUGCCGUGGGCGCUGGAGAAUUGAGGGGGGCUGCUCCUAGUACGAGAGGACCGGAGUGGACGCAUCACUGGUGUUCGGGUUGUCAUGCCAAUGGCACUGCCCGGUAGCUAAAUGCGGAAGAGAUAAGUGCUGAAAGCAUCUAAGCACGAAACUUGCCCCGAGAUGAGUUCUCCCUGAGACUUUAAGUCUCCUGAAGGAACGUUAAAGACGAUGACGUUGAUAGGCCGGGUGUGUAAGCGCAGCGAUGCGUUGAGCUAACCGGUACUAAUGAACCGUGAGGCUUAACCUUACAACGCCGAAG
Molecule: ribosomal RNA, 2906 nt
Filed under: Klebsiella pneumoniae
Lineage: Bacteria; Pseudomonadati; Pseudomonadota; Gammaproteobacteria; Enterobacterales; Enterobacteriaceae
Description: bacterial LSU rRNA
Rfam family: Bacterial large subunit ribosomal RNA
Source: RNAcentral